This 253-nucleotide ribosomal RNA is filed under the name uncultured bacterium. Its description in RNAcentral is "partial 16S ribosomal RNA". It matches the Rfam family "Bacterial small subunit ribosomal RNA", at positions 524 to 776 of the family's 1533-position model. The record is from RNAcentral.
UACGUAGGGUGCAAGCGUUAAUCGGAAUUACUGGGCGUAAAGCGUGCGCAGGCGGCUUUGCAAGACAGAUGUGAAAUCCCCGGGCUUAACCUGGGAACUGCAUUUGUGACUGCAAGGCUGGAGUGCGGCAGAGGGGGAUGGAAUUCCGCGUGUAGCAGUGAGAUGCGUAGAUAUGCGGAGGAACACCGAUGGCGAAGGCAAUCCCCUGGGCCUGCACUGACGCUCAUGCACGAAAGCGUGGGGAGCAAACAGG